Molecule: ribosomal RNA, 253 nt
Filed under: uncultured bacterium
Lineage: Bacteria
Description: partial 16S ribosomal RNA
Rfam family: Bacterial small subunit ribosomal RNA
Source: RNAcentral
UACGGAGGAUGCGAGCGUUAUCCGGAUUUAUUGGGUUUAAAGGGUGCGCAGGCGGGCUUUUAAGUCAGCGGUGAAAUCUCGAGGCUCAACCUCGAAAUUGCCGUUGAAACUGGGAACCUUGAGUAUAGAUGAAGUAGGCGGAAUUCGUUGUGUAGCGGUGAAAUGCAUAGAUAUAACGAGGAACCCCGAUUGCGUAGGCAGCUUACUAAACUAUAACUGACGCUCAAGCACGAAAGCGUGGGUAUCAAACAGG